AACAGGAUUAGAUACCCUGGUAGUCCACGCCGUAAACGAUGUCGACUUGGAGGCUGUUCCCUUGAGGAGUGGCUUCCGGAGCUAACGCGUUAAGUCGACCGCCUGGGGAGUACGGCCGCAAGGUUAAAACUCAAAUGAAUUGACGGGGGCCCGCACAAGCGGUGGAGCAUGUGGUUUAAUUCGAUGCAACGCGAAGAACCUUACCUACUCUUGACAUCCAGAGAAUUUAGCAGAGAUGCUUUAGUGCCUUCGGGAACUCUGAGACAGGUGCUGCAUGGCUGUCGUCAGCUCGUGUUGUGAAAUGUUGGGUUAAGUCCCGCAACGAGCGCAACCCUUAUCCUUUGUUGCCAGCGCGUAAUGGCGGGAACUCAAAGGAGACUGCCGGUGAUAAACCGGAGGAAGGUGGGGAUGACGUCAAGUCAUCAUGGCCCUUACGAGUAGGGCUACACACGUGCUACAACGGCGCAUACAAAGAGAAGCGACCUCGCGAGAGCAAGCGGACCCCAUAAAGUGCGUCGUAGUCCGGAUUGGAGUCUGCAACUCGACUCCAUGAAGUCGGAAUCGCUAGUAAUCGUAAAUCAGAAUGUUACGGUGAAUACGUUCCCGGGCCUUGUACACACCGCCCGUCACACCAUGGGAGUGGGUUGCAAAAGAAGUAGAUAGCUUAACCUUCGGGAGGGCGUUUACCACUUUGUGAUUCAUGACUGGGGUGAAGUCGUAACAAGGUAACCGUAGGGGAACCUGCGGCUGGAUCACCUCCUU
RNAcentral lists this ribosomal RNA (762 nucleotides) under uncultured bacterium. RNAcentral's name for it is "bacterial SSU rRNA". It matches the Rfam family "Bacterial small subunit ribosomal RNA", at positions 771 to 1532 of the family's 1533-position model. The record is from RNAcentral.